GGCAAGAUGACCGAGUUGGUUAAGGUGUGAGGUUAAGGAUCACCUUAGCAUCCAAUUCCUCAUGGAGCAAUCCGCGUGGGUUCGAAUCCCACUCUUGUCA
Molecule: non-coding RNA, 100 nt
Organism: Hypoxylon fuscum
Lineage: Eukaryota; Fungi; Ascomycota; Sordariomycetes; Xylariales; Hypoxylaceae
Source: the annotation of a GenBank genome assembly